AGCUGAAAUAGGAAUAACAUUUUGAGGGGAGCGGGGUCAGGGUGGCCUUUGUUGAGGUUCAGGGUCAAAGAUAAGAAGAGAGGCCUUACUGAGAUCUAAUUGGGUUCGGCAGCUAAGAAUGUCAGUUUGGGCCAAGAAAAUACUUAGGGCAGAGGCUCUUAACUCUUGGGUGCACAUUAAUAUCACCUGAGAGCUUUCAAAAAAGGCUGAUGAUUCUACUCGGCCACUCUGGGCUGGGGUCCCCUGGAAUCUGCAUUUAACCUCCCCAGGUGUUUCUAAUGUGCCGCUGGGGCUGAGAAUCAUGCCAGAGGUCGAGAGACUCACCUGUUUGCUGCUGCUUCUACAGUGAUGCUCAUGUUCUCGUGGCGGUUGGAAAACGGUGAAGCACUUCCACGCACGCAAUACCUGCCCAUUCUGUGAAUUGAGCAUUGUCCUUAUUUUCCAGGCCUCAGAUGCUGCGGGUGGGCCCACGCGGCCGCAGCCGUCAGGCGUUCUCAGCUCAACCGGAGCCAUACCAGGCUCAAGGUUGGGCAGAACCAAGGACAGGCCCUCUCACCUUCUCACCAAGGAGGGCUAAGUUGAGAAGAUUCCGAGAAGGUUGGCCCCAAGGUGGGAGUGUGAGCAUCGCAGGAUUUCUUAUUUCUAGUCCAGCUUGGGCUGAAAUAGAACCAGGAUGGAGGGUUGUGGCCAGGGGGACAGAUAGUGCCCUGGACUAUUUAAUCAAGUUAGGAGGCUCUCGUCGACUCCGUGGUGAUCCCACAGGGCCAGUAAAUGUGAUUUCUCCUCCCAAAAUUGGCGCUCCAGGAGCAGCUCUAUCCUUCUCAGCCCUGGAUUUGCUUCUAGCGGCUGCCCUGGCCCUUCUCCUCAUACCCCCUCCCCAACCCCCCAGGAGCUCCCCCAGAAUAAAUGGAAACCCUUUCCCAAGGUGGUGUUCAAGCUCCUCUAGGAAUGGCUGUGUGUCUCUAAAAGAGGCCAGAAAAAAUAAAGGCCACACAGUGAGACUGAU
This 1006-nucleotide long non-coding RNA is filed under the name Equus caballus (horse). RNAcentral's name for it is "lncRNA (ENSECAG00000050520.1)". Lineage: Eukaryota; Metazoa; Chordata; Mammalia; Perissodactyla; Equidae. The record is from RNAcentral.